CCUACGGGCGGCUGCAGUGGGGAAUAUUGCACAAUGGGCGCAAGCCUGAUGCAGCCAUGCCGCGUGUGUGAAGAAGGCCUUCGGGUUGUAAAGCACUUUCAGCGGGGAGGAAGGCGGUGAGGUUAAUAACCUCAUCGAUUGACGUUACCCGCAGAAGAAGCACCGGCUAACUCCGUGCCAGCAGCCGCGGUAAUACGGAGGGUGCAAGCGUUAAUCGGAAUUACUGGGCGUAAAGCGCACGCAGGCGGUCUGUCAAGUCGGAUGUGAAAUCCCCGGGCUCAACCUGGGAACUGCAUUCGAAACUGGCAGGCUAGAGUCUUGUAGAGGGGGGUAGAAUUCCAGGUGUAGCGGUGAAAUGCGUAGAGAUCUGGAGGAAUACCGGUGGCGAAGGCGGCCCCCUGGACAAAGACUGACGCUCAGGUGCGAAAGCGUGGGGAGCAAACGGGAUUAGAUACCCGUGUAGUC
This 465-nucleotide ribosomal RNA is filed under the name uncultured Klebsiella sp. RNAcentral's name for it is "bacterial SSU rRNA". It matches the Rfam family "Bacterial small subunit ribosomal RNA", at positions 338 to 795 of the family's 1533-position model. Lineage: Bacteria; Pseudomonadati; Pseudomonadota; Gammaproteobacteria; Enterobacterales; Enterobacteriaceae. The record is from RNAcentral.